Molecule: non-coding RNA, 114 nt
Organism: Triticum aestivum (bread wheat)
Lineage: Eukaryota; Viridiplantae; Streptophyta; Magnoliopsida; Poales; Poaceae
Source: Rfam
AUACUACUCCCUCCGUUCGGAAUUACUCGUUCAAAAAUGAAUGUAUAUAGAUGUAUUUUAGUUGUAGAUACAUCCAUUUUUGUGACAAGUAAUUCUGGACGGAGGGAGUAAAUA